UGGGUCUUCACGGAUUGCUUUCCAAGCUGC
Molecule: non-coding RNA, 30 nt
Filed under: Homo sapiens (human)
Lineage: Eukaryota; Metazoa; Chordata; Mammalia; Primates; Hominidae
Source: RNAcentral